AAUACAUCGGAACGUGUCCUCUCGUGGGGGAUAACCAGUCGAAAGAAUGGCUAAUACCGCAUGAGAUCGCAAGAUGAAAGCAGGGGACCCGCAAGGGCCUUGCGCGAGAGGAGCGGCCGAUGUCCGAUUAGCUAGUUGGUGAGGUAACGGCUCACCAAGGCGACGAUCGGUAGCUGGUCUGAGAGGACGACCAGCCACACUGGGACUGAGACACGGCCCAGACUCCUACGGGAGGCAGCAGUGGGGAAUUUUGGACAAUGGGGGCAACCCUGAUCCAGCCAUGCCGCGUGUGUGAUGAAGGCCUUCGGGUUGUAAAGCACUUUCGGACGGAACGAAAUCGCAUGGGCGAAUAUCCUGUGUGGAUGACGGUACCGUAAGAAGAAGCACCGGCUAACUACGUGCCAGCAGCCGCGGUAAUACGUAGGGUGCGAGCGUUAAUCGGAAUUACUGGGCGUAAAGGGUGCGCAGGCGGCCUCGCAAGUCAGGCGUGAAAUCCCCGAGCUUAACUUGGGAAUUGCGUUUGAAACUACGAGGCUGGAGUGUGGCAGAGGGAGGUGGAAUUCCACGUGUAGCGGUGAAAUGCGUAGAUAUGUGGAGGAACACCGAUGGCGAAGGCAGCCUCCUGGGCCAACACUGACGCUCAUGCACGAAA
Molecule: ribosomal RNA, 652 nt
Filed under: uncultured Pseudomonadota bacterium
Lineage: Bacteria; Pseudomonadati; Pseudomonadota
Description: bacterial SSU rRNA
Rfam family: Bacterial small subunit ribosomal RNA
Source: RNAcentral